GAAAAUAACCUUAUGGGUCAAUGCUGGAGCACCAUUUUGUCUUGGAUUUAGCUGUAAGGUUUGGUUUACUGAUUAAAAAAAAAUAAAUAAAAGGACAACAUAAUGAAUAGAAAAAGAAAUCCUUACUUUCAAAUUGGCGUUUUACUUUACUAGGAAUUCUUUGAUGCCAACUAGUUAAGGGAAAUACUUAUGACUUUGGAAACAAUGUGUUAU
This 213-nucleotide unclassified non-coding RNA is filed under the name Hevea brasiliensis (rubber tree). The record is from RNAcentral. Lineage: Eukaryota; Viridiplantae; Streptophyta; Magnoliopsida; Malpighiales; Euphorbiaceae.